UACGUAGGUGGCGAGCGUUGUCCUGAUUUACUGGGCGUAAAGGGAGCGUAGGCGGACUUUUAAGUGAGAUGUGAAAUACUCGGGCUCAACUUGAGUGCUGCAUUUCAAACUGGAAGUCUAGAGUGCAGGAGAGGAGAAUGGAAUUCCUAGUGUAGCGGUGAAAUGCGUAGAGAUUAGGAAGAACACCAGUGGCGAAGGCGAUUCUCUGGACUGUAACUGACGCUGAGGCUCGAAAGCGUGGGGAGCAAACAGG
RNAcentral lists this ribosomal RNA (253 nucleotides) under uncultured bacterium. RNAcentral describes it as "partial 16S ribosomal RNA". It matches the Rfam family "Bacterial small subunit ribosomal RNA", at positions 524 to 776 of the family's 1533-position model. The record is from RNAcentral.